Molecule: long non-coding RNA, 213 nt
Filed under: Mytilus galloprovincialis (Mediterranean mussel)
Lineage: Eukaryota; Metazoa; Mollusca; Bivalvia; Mytilida; Mytilidae
Source: RNAcentral
AUGAAACUUUGAGUAAAAUAUAUAUUUAUCAGUCUAGUAUAAAAUAGGAAGGAACGCAAUACCAAUUUCAUUUUUAAUAAUUCCUUGAUAUGAAAAAACGUUACCUGAUGAUAGCGUUUCUUUGUUUACAUUGCAUAUGACGUCAUAACUUAAAUAACGUCACAACUAAAAUCCCUAACAACAGAACCAAAAUCGGAAACGUUACGGUAUUUC